RNAcentral lists this ribosomal RNA (253 nucleotides) under uncultured bacterium. RNAcentral describes it as "partial 16S ribosomal RNA". It matches the Rfam family "Bacterial small subunit ribosomal RNA", at positions 524 to 776 of the family's 1533-position model. The record is from RNAcentral.
GACAGAGGGUGCAAACGUUGUUCGGAAUUACUGGGCGUAAAGCGCGUGUAGGCGGCCAUGCAAGUCGGAUGUGAAAGCCCUCGGCUCAACCGGGGAAGUGCACUCGAAACUGCAAGGCUAGAGUCUCGGAGAGGAUCGUGGAAUUCUCGGUGUAGAGGUGAAAUUCGUAGAUAUCGAGAGGAACACCGGUGGCGAAGGCGGCGAUCUGGACGAUGACUGACGCUGAGGUGCGAAAGCGUGGGGAGCAAACAGG